This is a long non-coding RNA of Gossypium arboreum, 653 nucleotides long. RefSeq lists it as uncharacterized. The transcript is spliced from 2 exons. The record is from RefSeq and is a predicted model, not a curated record. NCBI's taxonomy places the organism in Eukaryota, Viridiplantae, Streptophyta, Magnoliopsida, Malvales, Malvaceae.
AGCCUUUUUCAAAUCCUAUAAAAGGGUGUUUGUUAGCCAAUUCUCUUCAAUGUGAAUCAGGCGCCAAACCAAUCAGCAAGGGUAAGCUCAAACAUUUCUUACAGGUUAUGAUGCAAGGCAAUGCAUGACAGUCUCUGGGUAUAAGAGCUUCUUGAUUGAAGAAAAUGGUAGCAGAGAAAGGACAAAAGAGCAACAAACGUAUUGCAUGUGAGGAAUGACCCACAAAUUCAGAGACAGGCUUUCAAACAUUAAUGUUGAAAUUUUGAACCGUUUUCGAGUAUGUUUUUGCUGUACGUUUCUGUCUUUAACCUUAAUUGGAUAAAGUGGAAGGGGUGGGAAGACAUUAACACACAUAUAUGAAUUGUUUCAAAUCAGUUGUCCCAUCCUCACCAGUUAAACAUAAAUUACAAAGGAUAAGAGGGAAUCUGUCUUCAUUUGUGUCAGCCAAUGUGGGGGACAUGAUCGUUUCUUUAUGGACAUUGGCAUUAGUUCUUUGUUGUGUUUGGAUUCACAAAUAAAAAUUGGGUUCCCUUAGCUAACCCUCUCACCAGUCUCUAAAACCCAGCUGCAGGUCUUUGAUUUCAAAGCAUAAAAUGUUUAUAAAGCAAUUGUAAUAUCAAAGAGCUACUAAUAAAAAAGUAGCAAUUAGAAAA